AAUGGAUCAGCAGGAACAGCAGAACCAAACCUCUCGGGAAGAUUACCAUUUAACCCCCACCGCUCCCCGUCUUCUCUCUCGCGAAGUCCUUUUUUGCUUCCCAUUCCGCUCGCUCGAUCUCUCUCCAAUGGCGGGCCUCAGCGCCCUCAACCGCCCCUCGGCGGCGGCCUCCGUCGCCCCUCCAGGCCUCGCCUCGAGGCUCGUCCUUCUUCUCACCGCCCUCCCCCUCUUCCUCUCCAUUUUUGCCUUCGUCCUCCAGUGGCGCGGUGGCACCGACGACCCGGUCUCGCGGUGGCCUGCCGAGUCUCAGAAGUUCCCCGGGAUGGAUAACAGCCCACUCGGCUCGUCCAUCUCGUCGUCGACGUCCGGGCGCUCGUCGUCGUCUUCCUCCGAUUGCGUGGAGAUCCUCGGCCAGAGCUCCUCUCCUUCCUUCCCUUAUUAUCGAGGGUGGAAGUUCAAUUUCGAUUUGGAUCCGCAUCCAAAGAUAAGUAUUGUAUCAACCACCUCAGCCAGCUUGGAGCAAAUUUUGCCAUGGCUGUUUUACCACAAGGUCAUUGGUGUAACACAAUUCCUUCUAUUUGUUGAAGGAAAGGCUGCAAAAUCUCAUUCUUCGGCAAUCCUUGAAUCUAUUCCGGGGGUGAAAGUUAUACACAGAACUAAAGAUCUUGAGGAGAAACAAGCACAAAGCCGUAUCUGGAAUGAGACAUGGCUGGCAGGCUUCUUCUACAAGCCUUGCAAUUAUGAACUAUUUGUGAAGCAGUCACUAAAUAUGGAGAUGGCUAUUGUUAUGGCACGGGAAUCUGGAAUGGAUUGGAUAAUACAUCUUGACACUGACGAGUUAAUGCAUCCUGCUGGUGCUGGAGAGUACUCUUUAAGGCGGUUGCUGUUGGAUGUCUCUAGUGAUGUUGAUAUGGUUAUCUUUCCAAAUUAUGAAAGUUGCAUUGAGCGAGAUGAUAUAAAAGAUCCCUUCAGUGAGGUAUCCAUGUUUAAGAAGAACUAUGACCAUCUACCAAAGGAUACAUAUUUUGGUAUGUAUAAGGAGGCAACACGUGGCAACCCCAAUUAUUUCCUUACUUAUGGAAAUGGCAAAUCAGCUGCACGAAUUCAAGAUCAUCUUCGUCCUAAUGGUGCGCAUAGGUGGCACAAUUAUAUGAAGAUUCCAAAGGAGGUUAAACUGGAUGAGGCUGCUGUUCUACAUUUCACAUAUACCAAAUUUUCAGACCUGACCUCACGGCGUGAUCGGUGUGGCUGCAAACCAACAAAAGAUGAUGUCAAAAGAUGCUUUAUGUUGGAUUUUGACAGAGCCUCAUGAACCACCCUGGUUGGAGCCAUGGUCUACCCAGCAGUGCUUCAUAUCCUCCUUGCUCUUUGUCUAAGAUUGGACUAAAGGCCUUCAUUAUUGCAUCGACGGCCACUGAAGAGGAAAUGCUGCAUUGGUACAAUGAACAUGUUGUGUGGACAGAUAAACAAUUAAAUCUAAAGCUUCUAAAGAAGGGUGUCUUGACACGUGUAUAUGCACCAAUGGCCAUUAUUCAAGGUUUGAGGGAGUCUGGUGUUUUCAGCUCUGCAAUUGCAUCUGCACAAACACUUUCCAAAGAGAAAUUUUUGUCCUCCAUGGAAGGCCUCCAAAACAAAAACUCUUCGGCACUUCCCAAUCUGAGCACUGCUGCAUCCAAGAACACGAUGAGAGGAGCUGGUGGAAAAGAAUCUUAUGCAUCGGCAAGGAAGAUCUUGGAGACUGCUGUCUUCACUGAGAAUGCAAUUCCGCCAAUAUCACCGCCAGGCUUGGAUGAUAUCUAAACUAAAACAUGAUGAUCUGCUAUUCUGCAUUGCUUCUCUGAGUUCACGUAAUUGAAGAAUAUAACAUUCCAGAUGCCAGUUAACUGCAGCAAAGAAAUGGAAUAGAAGCAACCUGUCUGAGACACCAUGAAUCACCCAUUCAAAUGGUGGUUCUGCUUCCCGAUCAUAUCAUCCAAGCGCUGGUUUACAAUUUUGACAUGUUUUCUUUUUCACAGAUUUGAAAGAUGUUAGAAGAAAAAUUUUCCCCUGGGAAUCUAUAUGCAGGAUUUGUUUGCAUGGGAUUCCCAUUAUUAUUUCAUUCUGUUCCAGAAAAUUUGUAUAGAAACUGAUUGGGGUCUUUUGUUCUAAAAUUUAUGCUAAUCCAUAUUUCUAUACUAUACCAAAGGCUUAUGAAUUUUUCCCCAUUAGGAGUGGUAAUGUUCAUGUCUAUUGUGAAAGUCAUGGUUAUCAUGUAACGAAUAGAUUGGAAAAA
This is a non-coding RNA of Elaeis guineensis (African oil palm), 2272 nucleotides long. The record is from RefSeq and is a predicted model, not a curated record. Lineage: Eukaryota; Viridiplantae; Streptophyta; Magnoliopsida; Arecales; Arecaceae.